AACGAACGCUGGCGGCACGGCCUAACACAUGCAAGUCGAGCGCUCUCUUCGGAGGGAGCGGCGGACGGGUUAAGUAACGCGGUAGGGAAUCGUUACCCUUCUACGUAAGGAAUACGCCAGUUAGGAAACGAUGAGUAAUACCUUAUACCGGCCCCCGGUACAACUGGGGGGAAAGAUUUAUCGGAGAGGGAUCAGCCCGCGUAAGAUUAGAUAGUUGGUGGGGUAAUGGCCUACCAAGUCUACGAUCUUUAGCUGGUUUUAGAGGAUGAUCAGCAACACUGGGACUGAGACACGGCCCAGACUCCUACGGGAGGCAGCAGUGGGGAAUCUUGGACAAUGGGCGCAAGCCUGAUCUAGCCAUGCCGCGUGUGUGAUGAAGGUCUUAGGAUCGUAAAGCACUUUCGCCAGGGAUGAUAAUGACAGUACCUGGUAAAGAAACCCCGGCUAACUCCGUG
Molecule: ribosomal RNA, 455 nt
Filed under: uncultured bacterium
Lineage: Bacteria
Description: bacterial SSU rRNA
Rfam family: Bacterial small subunit ribosomal RNA
Source: RNAcentral